RNAcentral lists this ribosomal RNA (253 nucleotides) under uncultured bacterium. Its description in RNAcentral is "partial 16S ribosomal RNA". It matches the Rfam family "Bacterial small subunit ribosomal RNA", at positions 524 to 776 of the family's 1533-position model. The record is from RNAcentral.
UACCGAGGAUGCAAGCGUUAUCCGGAAUGAUUGGGCGUAAAGCGUCUGUAGGCGGCUUUUUAAGUCCGCCGUCAAAUCCCAGGGCUCAACUCUGGAAUGGCCUUUGAGACUAGAGGACUUGGGUACGGGAGAGGUGAGUGGAAUUCCGAGUGUAGAGGUGAAAUUCGUAGAUAUUCGCAAGAACACCAGUGGCGAAGGCGGCUCGCUGGCCCGAUACUGACGCUGAGGUGCGAAAGCGUGGGGAGCAAACAGG